CAGCAGCCACGGUAAUACGAAGGGGGCUAGCGUUGUUCGGAAUUACUGGGCGUAAAGCGCACGCAGGCGGCUCGAUAAAUUAGAAGUGAAAGCCUUGGGCUUAACCUGAGAAUUGCUUUUAAGACUGUCGAGCUAGAAUCCAGAAGAGGGUAGUGGAAUUCCGAGUGUAGAGGUGAAAUUCGUAGAUAUUCGGAAGAACACCAGUGGCGAAGGCGACUACCUGGUCUGGCAUUGACGCUCAUGUGCGAAAGCGUGGGGAGCAAACAGGAUUAGAUACCCGUGUAGUCCCUGUCUCUUAUAC
This 301-nucleotide ribosomal RNA is filed under the name uncultured bacterium. Its description in RNAcentral is "partial 16S ribosomal RNA". It matches the Rfam family "Bacterial small subunit ribosomal RNA", at positions 509 to 807 of the family's 1533-position model. The record is from RNAcentral.